Molecule: unclassified non-coding RNA, 342 nt
Filed under: Fumana fontanesii
Lineage: Eukaryota; Viridiplantae; Streptophyta; Magnoliopsida; Malvales; Cistaceae
Description: trnL-trnF intergenic spacer
Source: RNAcentral
UUAUCUAUUUUUCUUUUUCCUACCCUCUCUUUUUCUAAAUUGAUUAGGGGCAUUCUAUUCUUUUAGAUUUGACGAAUGUAUAGGAAGGGGUGGACCUUUUUGAUAUCAUACACAAGUCUUGUGAUAGAUAUGAUAUACGGGCAAAUGCGCAUCGGAAUACCCAGUUGAAUAAUUCACAAUCCAUAUCAUUACUCAUACUGAUACGAACAAAGUAUUCUUUUUAAAGAUUUGAAGAUCAAGAGAUUCCCUCGUCUUUUAAUACUUGGCCCUUUCUUUUUUUUUAAUUGACAUAGACGCAAGUCCUCUCGUAAAAUGAGUAUGAUGCAUCGUUAAUGGUCAGGA